This 71-nucleotide transfer RNA is filed under the name Conus nobilis. Its description in RNAcentral is "tRNA-Arg". Lineage: Eukaryota; Metazoa; Mollusca; Gastropoda; Neogastropoda; Conidae. The record is from RNAcentral.
GUAUGGGAAGCGAGAAAAGUUUGCAUCUGGCUUCGGAUCAGAUCUUAGGGGUGUGAGUCCCUUUCCAUAUU